UGGGGAAUAUUGGACAAUGGGCGCAAGCCUGAUCCAGCCAUGCCGCGUGUGUGAAGAAGGCCUUCGGGUUGUAAAGCACUUUUGUCCGGAAAGAAAUCCUUUCGAUUAAUACUCGGGAGGGAUGACGGUACCGGAAGAAUAAGCACCGGCUAACUUCGUGCCAGCAGCCGCGGUAAUACGAAGGGUGCAAGCGUUACUCGGAAUUACUGGGCGUAAAGCGUGCGUAGGUGGUUUGUUAAGUCUGAUGUGAAAGCCCUGGGCUCAACCUGGGAACGGCAUUGGAUACUGGCUUACUAGAGUGCGGUAGAGGGUAGUGGAAUUCCCGGUGUAGCAGUGAAAUGCGUAGAUAUCGGGAGGAACAUCUGUGGCGAAGGCGACUACCUGGACCAGCACUGACACUGAGGCACGAAAGCGUGGGGAGCAAACAGG
RNAcentral lists this ribosomal RNA (429 nucleotides) under uncultured bacterium. RNAcentral's name for it is "bacterial SSU rRNA". It matches the Rfam family "Bacterial small subunit ribosomal RNA", at positions 355 to 776 of the family's 1533-position model. The record is from RNAcentral.